AUGGAUAAAAAUAUCAAAGUGCGCACGGAGUCGGAGGAUGGUCUGCUUCGCAGUAUCAGUUGUUCUUGCCGCAAAUUGGAAUGCGCAGGCACACCAUGUUCCCACAUAUUUUACAUAUUGGGAAUUUUACAAGAAGAAACACUGCCCAGGUGUUGUGUUCCCACUAGGUGGACAAUGAGUGCAAAAUGUGCAUUCACACCGACUAGAAAGAGCGAGAUGUAUGCAUACUCUGCAGCCCUAAAAAGGUACCGUAAGCUAAGGAAUUUUAGUCACACGACAUGUUUCAAGGCAUGCCACUCUGAUGAGGCGUUUCAGCAUCUAAAAAGGGUUUUGUAA
This 336-nucleotide ribosomal RNA is filed under the name Triticum aestivum (bread wheat). RNAcentral describes it as "partial small subunit ribosomal RNA". The record is from RNAcentral. Lineage: Eukaryota; Viridiplantae; Streptophyta; Magnoliopsida; Poales; Poaceae.